UCAGCGGCAGACGGGUGAGUAACACGUAGAUAACCUACCCUCAAGACGGGGAUAACCGGUGGAAACAGCGGCUAAUACCCGAUAGGCUCACGUGAUCGGGAGGUCAAGUGAGGAAAGGCUGCGGUGCUUGAGGAGGGGUCUGCGGCCCAUCAGCUAGUUGGUGAGGUAACGGCUCACCAAGGCGAAGACGGGUAGGGGGUGUGAGAGCACGACCCCCCACAAUGGGACUGCGACACGGCCCAUACUCCUACGGGAGGCAGCAGCAGGGAAUAUUGCGCAAUGGACGGAAGUCAGACGCAGCGACGCCGCGUGGGUGAGGAAGGCCUUCGGGUUGUAAAGCCCUUUUCUGGAGGGCGAGGCAGGACGGUACUCCAGGAAUAAGCGUCGGCUAACUACGUGCCAGCAGCCGCGGUAAGACGUAGGACGCAAGCGUUAUCCGGAUUUACUGGGCGUAAAGCGCCUGUAGGCGGCGGGAUAAGUCGGAUGUGAAAGCCCCGUGCUCAACGCGGGGAAACCAUUCGAUACUGUCUGGCUAGAGAGCGGGAGAGGGAAACGGAAUUCUGGUGUAGCGGUAAAAUGCGCAGAGAUCAGAAGGAACACCGAUGGCGAAGGCAGUUUCCUAGGCCGUAUCUGACGCUGAGAGGCGAAAGCUAGGGGAGCGAACAGGAUUAGAGACCCUGGUAGUCCUAGCUGUAAACGCUGGAUGCUAGGUGUGGGCCAGAGCGGUCCGUGCCGGAGUUAACGCGAUAAGCAUCCCGCCUGGGGAGUACGGCCGCAAGGCUAAAACUCAAACGAAUUGACGGGGACCCGCACAAGCAGCGGAGCGUGUGGUUUAAUUCGAUGCUACACGCAGAACCUUACCUGGGCUUGACAUGUAGGUGGUAGUGAAGUGAAAGCGGAGCGACCCUUCGGGGAGCCUACACAGGUGCUGCAUGGCUGUCGUCAGCUCGUGCCGUGAGGUGUCGGGUUAAGUCCCGUUACGAGCGCAACCCUUGUCCUUAGUUACAAGUGUCUAAGGAGACUGCCGGUGACAAACCGGAGGAAGGUGGGGAUGACGUCAAGUCAGCAUGGCCCUUAUGUCCAGGGCGACACACACGCUACAAUGGUCGGUACAAAGGGCAGCGCAGCCGCGAGGUGAAGCGAAUCCCACCAAAGCCGACCCCAGUUCGGAUUGCAGGCUGCAACCCGCCUGCAUGAAGCCGGAGUUGCUAGUAACCGCGCGUCAGCCAUAGUGCGGUGAAUACGUUCCCGGGUCUUGUACACACCGCCCGUCACGUCAUGGGAGUCGGUAACGCCUGAAGCCGGAAGUCUGACCCGCAAGGGAGGGCGCCGUCGAAGGCGGG
RNAcentral lists this ribosomal RNA (1343 nucleotides) under uncultured organism. Its description in RNAcentral is "bacterial SSU rRNA". It matches the Rfam family "Bacterial small subunit ribosomal RNA", at positions 92 to 1466 of the family's 1533-position model. The record is from RNAcentral.